AACGAACGCUGGCGGCAUGCCUAACACAUGCAAGUCGAACGAGACCUUCGGGUCUAGUGGCGCACGGGUGCGUAACGCGUGGGAACCUGCCCUUAGGUUCGGAAUAACUCCCCGAAAGGGGUGCUAAUACCGGAUAAUGUCUUCGGACCAAAGAUUUAUCGCCUUUGGAUGGGCCCGCGUCGGAUUAGCUAGUUGGUAGGGUAAAAGCCUACCAAGGCGACGAUCCAUAGCUGGUCUGAGAGGAUGAUCAGCCACACUGGGACUGAGACACGGCCCAGACUCCUACGGGAGGCAGCAGUGGGGAAUAUUGGACAAUGGGCGAAAGCCUGAUCCAGCAAUGCCGCGUGAGUGAUGGAGGCCUUAGGGUUGUAAAGCUCUUUUACCCGGGAUGAUAAUGACAGUACCGGGAGAAUAAGCUCCGGCUAACUCCGUG
RNAcentral lists this ribosomal RNA (433 nucleotides) under uncultured bacterium. RNAcentral describes it as "partial 16S ribosomal RNA". It matches the Rfam family "Bacterial small subunit ribosomal RNA", at positions 29 to 507 of the family's 1533-position model. The record is from RNAcentral.